AACGCGAAGAACCUUACCAGGAAAAAGACAUGACGGUAGUAGUGAAGCGAAAGCGGAACGACCCUUCGGGGAGCCGUCACAGGUGAUGCAUGGCUGUCGUCAGCUCGUGCCGUGAGGUGUUUGGUUAAGUCCACUAACGAGCGCAACCCCUAGCGCCAGUUACAAGUGUCUGGCGCGACUGCCGGUAUUAAGCCGGAGGAAGGUGGGGAUGACGUCAAGUCAGCAUGUCCUUUAUACCCUGGGCGACACACACGCUACAAUGGCCAGCACAAUGGGUCGCCAAGCCGUGAGGCGGAGCCAAUCCUAAAAAGCUGGUCUCAGUUCGGAUUGCAAAAGCUGCAACCCGCCUGCAUAAAAGUCGGAGUUGCUAGUAACCGCAGGACAGCUAUACUGUUCGGUGAAUACGUUCCGGGGUCUGUACACACCG
Molecule: ribosomal RNA, 427 nt
Filed under: uncultured bacterium
Lineage: Bacteria
Description: bacterial SSU rRNA
Rfam family: Bacterial small subunit ribosomal RNA
Source: RNAcentral